UCAGGAGAAGAGGAAAAGGGGUGAAACCCUAAUUCAAGAAAACCUUCAAAUUGAGAGGGGAAUUGAGGGCCAUUUGGAUGCAUGAACCAAGAAUGUUAAUCCCCUAAGUGUUUUCAAUAACAAUGAGGUGUAGAUGAUAAGCAUCAUGUCAAGAGGACACAAGCACAAAUGGCAAUCGGGUCAAGAGGAGACAAGGGAAUGGUCACGAAUACGGACGCUUAAGGUAGUACGAAUCACAGAAUUUCAUACCAAGGAGUAGCGAUCAAAGACCGAGUCACAAGUCAGAUUGUACGGGAAUACUUGGCUAUGUAAAUUGAUAGUUAUGCUUUUGUUAUGUAAAUUAAGUACAAAAGAUGCAUAUAAUGUAAGAAAGUGGUUCUUAAUGAACUUGCUAG
This is a long non-coding RNA of Helianthus annuus (common sunflower), 395 nucleotides long. RefSeq lists it as uncharacterized. NCBI's taxonomy places the organism in Eukaryota, Viridiplantae, Streptophyta, Magnoliopsida, Asterales, Asteraceae. The transcript is spliced from 3 exons. The record is from RefSeq and is a predicted model, not a curated record.